RNAcentral lists this ribosomal RNA (488 nucleotides) under uncultured bacterium. RNAcentral's name for it is "bacterial SSU rRNA". It matches the Rfam family "Bacterial small subunit ribosomal RNA", at positions 8 to 496 of the family's 1533-position model. The record is from RNAcentral.
AGAGUUUGAUCAUGGCUCAGGAUGAACGCUGGCGGCGUGCCUAACACAUGCAAGUCGAGCGAAGGAAUUCAGCGGAAGUUUUCGGAUGGAAGCGGGAUUUACUGAGCGGCGGACGGGUGAGUAACGCGUGGGUAACCUGCCUCAUACAGGGGGAUAACAGCUAGAAAUGGCUGCUAAUACCGCAUAAGCGCACAGUACCGCAUGGUACGGUGUGAAAAGCCGAGACGGUAUGAGAUGGACCCGCGUCUGAUUAGCUAGUUGGUGGGGUAACGGCCCACCAAGGCGACGAUCAGUAGCCGACCUGAGAGGGUGACCGGCCACAUUGGGACUGAGACACGGCCCAAACUCCUACGGGAGGCAGCAGUGGGGAAUAUUGCACAAUGGGGGAAACCCUGAUGCAGCGACGCCGCGUGAGCGAAGAAGUAUUUCGGUAUGUAAAGCUCUAUCAGCAGGGAAGAAAAUGACGGUACCUGACUAAGAAGCCCCGG